UAGGGAAUCUUCGGCAAUGGACGAAAGUCUGACCGAGCAACGCCGCGUGAGUGAAGAAGGUUUUCGGAUCGUAAAACUCUGUUGUUAGAGAAGAACAAGGACGUUAGUAACUGAACGUCCCCUGACGGUAUCUAACCAGAAAGCAACGGCUAACUACGUGCCAGCAGCCGCGGUAAUACGUAGGUGGCAAGCGUUGUCCGGAUUUAUUGGGCGUAAAGCGAGCGCAGGCGGUUUCUUAAGUCUGAUGUGAAAGCCCCCGGCUCAACCGGGGAGGGUCAUUGGAAACUGGGAGACUUGAGUGCAGAAGAGGAGAGUGGAAUUCCAUGUGUAGCGGUGAAAUGCGUAGAUAUAUGGAGGAACACCAGUGGCGAAGGCGGCUCUCUGGUCUGUAACAGACGCUGAGGCUCGAAAGCGUGGGGAGCAAACAGG
This 429-nucleotide ribosomal RNA is filed under the name Gemmatimonadota bacterium. RNAcentral describes it as "Gemmatimonadetes bacterium partial 16S ribosomal RNA". It matches the Rfam family "Bacterial small subunit ribosomal RNA", at positions 355 to 776 of the family's 1533-position model. Lineage: Bacteria; Pseudomonadati; Gemmatimonadota. The record is from RNAcentral.